RNAcentral lists this transfer RNA (73 nucleotides) under Myxococcota bacterium. RNAcentral describes it as "tRNA-Glu". It matches the Rfam family "tRNA". Rfam says of the family: Transfer RNA (tRNA) molecules are approximately 80 nucleotides in length. Their secondary structure includes four short double-helical elements and three loops (D, anti-codon, and T loops). The record is from RNAcentral. Lineage: Bacteria; Pseudomonadati; Myxococcota.
GGUCCCGUCGUUCAACCGGUUAGGACAGCGGCCUUUCACGCCGUAAACACGGGUUCGAAUCCCGUCGGGAUCA